UACGGAGGGUGCAAGCGUUGUCCGGAAUCACUGGGCGUAAAGGGCGCGUAGGCGGCUCAUGAAGGCUGUGGUGAAAGCCCGGGGCUCAACCUCGGAUCGGCCGUGGCGACUCGUGGGCUGGAGCACUGUAGAGGCGGGUGGAAUUCCGGGUGUAGCGGUGGAAUGCGUAGAGAUCCGGAAGAACACCAGUGGCGAAGGCGGCCCGCUGGGCAGUGGCUGACGCUGAGGCGCGACAGCGUGGGGAGCAAACAGG
RNAcentral lists this ribosomal RNA (253 nucleotides) under uncultured bacterium. RNAcentral's name for it is "partial 16S ribosomal RNA". It matches the Rfam family "Bacterial small subunit ribosomal RNA", at positions 524 to 776 of the family's 1533-position model. The record is from RNAcentral.